UAUUUUUUAAUUUUUUUUUGUUUUCUUUAUAUUUUUUUUUUUUUUCCUCUAGGGGUUUUGUGCAAGCCUGAGAAUGGUGGAUGCUGAUGUUAACUCGAAGAUGAGGCAGAAUGAUAUGUUAAUGAA
Molecule: non-coding RNA, 126 nt
Filed under: Fibrocapsa japonica
Lineage: Eukaryota; Raphidophyceae; Chattonellales; Chattonellaceae
Source: RNAcentral